RNAcentral lists this long non-coding RNA (4524 nucleotides) under Populus tremula. RNAcentral describes it as "long non-coding RNA (PTRE_LNC000622)". Lineage: Eukaryota; Viridiplantae; Streptophyta; Magnoliopsida; Malpighiales; Salicaceae. The record is from RNAcentral.
GAUCAUGAAAAUCAAGAAAAGGCUCUUAAACCAGAGAUUUCAAGACUCCCAGCGACCAUUACAAGGUCUAUGAGUGAAGAUUUAUGCUCCAAUACAACCUUCAGUUUUGGCUUUUCUUUCUCUUCAGAUUCAGUCCUCCACGCACCGAAGCUCCACACCAUCUUUUCAGGCGAAGACUUCACAAAAGAAGAGUAUUCAACACCAACGGAGAAGGUAUAUGUCCUGGAAUCACAUAAAAAGAAAGUUACGAGGAGAAGAGGAAAGAAAGUUACAAGCAAGAGCCUGUCAGAAUUGGAAUAUGAAGAGCUAAAAGGGUUUACGGAUUUGGGGUUUGUCUUCUCGGAAGAAGAUAAAGAUUCAAAGUUGGCUUCAAUAAUUCCAGGAUUGCAAAGACUUGGUAAGCAACAUGAGGAUGAAACCGUUCUUGAUGAGCCUACAGUUUCUAGGCCUUAUUUAUCUGAAGCAUGGGAAGUUCAGGAACAGAGAAUGAGAGAGGAGCCAUUGAUGAACACAUAACUCUUGUAUCAGCGUGUUUGACCGUGUAGUAGCGGUUGCUUUUCAAUUCAAUAGCUUUUCGUGCUGAAAUACAUGUCAAUGAUGUUUUUUAUUUUUUAAAAAUUAUUUUUGACAUCAGCACAUCAAAACGGUUCAAAAAAUACAAACCGUACUCAAUUUUAACAAAACAAAAAUUCAAAAUUUGAUGAAAUGCAGUUACAAACGCAAUCCAAUAGAUUUGAGACUAGGCUUAUAUCAAAUUCAUGGUAUAAAAUUCUAAUUUUUGUUCCAUGACAGUUGCAUAUCGAAGGCCAGUGGAACACCUAAUUCUUGUAUGUGUUCUUGAUGAUGCCAACAAUAAAAUGACACAAUCAAUCCUACUAUUUUUUAGGAUAUCAUGCCAGUUUGAAAUAUAAUGUUUGAGUUUAUUCUUCAUUGUUUGUCUCUAUGAUUGAACUCCACGAAUGCAGAUUUCUUGUAUAUUGAAAAUGAUCUAUUUAGAAGUCUGGAUGGUAUUUUAGAAUGAACAACUAAGUGAUGAUCCAGUAUUUUUACAUUUCAAUUCUUUCUGUGUAUAUUUUUUGCAUUCUUCCUUUAUCUUUGCAUAUCACUAUUUUUAUUUAUUUUUAAUAAUAUUUGGUAAUCGGGAUACUGUAUGGAUUCACUUAGAUUAGGUAUAAUUGUCCUAAAUAAAAGCACUUUGGCUCCCAUAUUUAAAACUUCAGUUCAGUUUAUGAUGAUCAGAGGUGUGAAAUAUGGAGUAUGAGCUGCCUAAAGGGUAUUCUCCAAUUUUAUUUUAUUUUAAGAUAAUGUUUCCUGCGCGUAAAAUAAAUAGGGCUUUAAACUCCUUCAAAAAAAAAAAAAAUAUUGGAGUGUGAUGUGAAGUCAAACAGUAGGUGUGAAAUGUUUUUACCAGCCCAUGGCCCUCGUGCACGUGCCCUGAGUCGCAUGCGGAAACUGAGAUUUGUCAGAUCACCGUAUCAACAGCUGACUCUCAAAAAACAUUCCCUCUAGAGGAUAUUCGCUAACCCAGUUUGCAUUCAAUCACAAUAAUGCCCUUCAUAUUUAUAAAAUAAAUAAUUAAACAUAAUUAUAUAUGUAUAUUCGCAGCAUAAUCACUUUUGACCUAAGAACAUAACUCGGCUUUGAACUCCUUAAGUACUUAUCUUUGAUACGUAUUGCAAUUACAAACAAACAAAUAAAUAAAUAAAGCUGGUAGAGAAAUAUUGUGCAUCUAACGAGAAAACUUAUUACGCUACGUUUUCUCCUCUCUCUCUUUUUUUCUUUGGUUUUUUUAUUUUGAUCCUUUAUUUUUUUUUAUUUUUUUUUAAUAUUGUAUUUAUUUGGGAUUAAACUUAAUAGUUUAUUUUAUCUACUUAGGAUAGAAAACUACACAAUAUCAAACAUUAUCGAUCAAUACUUACUUUAUUAAAAUUAAAUGAGAUUUUAUUAAUUUAAAAUAAUUAAAUUUUCAAGAAUUAAAAUUUAAAGAUUGGAUAUUUAGUUCUGUUAAUGCAAAUCUGCAAUCAUGUUAUUAUACAGUUCAUAAUCAAGAUUGAAUAACAUGAAUAAUUAUCAUUUACUUAACUUGAAUAUUUUUUUCUACAUUCAAUAAAAAUUUUGAUCGGAUUCACAAGUAAUUAUCUCAUCGUAUUUUAUUUCUUGCUCAUAAGUACUUUAAUUAAUCAUUUCCUAUUCUGUCUUCACACUCCUACAUAAAGAGACUUUAGAGGCCACAUAUCUAUCAUUUACCUAACUUUAAAAUUAUUGAACAUAUUUAAUUAUCGAAUGCAACUUAAAUAAUAAUAAUAAUUGAUUUAAGCACAUUUGCAUUAUCGUAUUGUCCCCUACAAAGAUUUAUUGGAGCUUUUCUUUAUUUAUUUACUCACUUUUAUCCAAUCAUCAUACAACACGGUAGAAGGUUAAAUGACUUUACAAGCUUAAUUAAUUAUGUUGUAAGGGAAAAAAAAAACUUAACAUCUGAAACCCGUCAUAAUUCAUUUCUCUUUUUCGUAAUUUAUGAUACUUUAUCUAUAUAUUACAUUAAAUUGAUAAUUCAAGUCUUGUGUCUACGAGUUCCAAGAAAAAAAAAUUAUUUGAACUAAAAAAUAUGUAUUGCAUUAAAAAGUUUACAAGACCCAUUUUAUAAUAAUUGGACAAAAUCCAAUAUAAUGAAGCCAAGUUCAGACAAAAAUCCUAGGAGUAUAGUUUAUGAAAACCUAAAAAACGUACAUCGUUUUCACAUGUUCAAUAUAUCCUUCCAUUUAAACGACUUGAAGCAGACAAUAACUAUCCAACAGUAAAUAAUCUAAAUGUAAAUAAAUCUAAGUUCCGAUCAUCAAUCUAUCAUUGAAAUUGCAUCCUAGAUGGAUAUAAUAACGGGUGAUGUUUCAAAAUAUGUUUAUAAACAUAGGUUUUUUUUUUUUUGUUGGAGACUAGGCUUAAUCAAGUGUCUAUGUAAUUAGAUCUAUUUUUUAUAAUAUGUAAAAUUUCUAAGAUUUUUUUUGAUGGAUUUAAGAACUUUAGAUAUUAAAGUUAGUGUUUUUAUAAGAAAAAAAUAUAAUAAAUAUGCAAGAAAAAACAUAAAAUUUUAAAUAAAAGUUAUUUGUUCUUAUUUUAGUAUUGUAAUAGGUACUAUAAGAUAACAAUGUGUAUAUGUUGAGAAUGAAAAUUUUAAAUUCUUUACCUAAAUAAUUCAUGAGGUAUUUAUAUCUUAUAAACUUUUUUUCUUGUUUGAAAGAAAAGGUUGAAAAGUCAUUAUAUUCUUAUAAUAUUAAUGAAGAUAAAUAUCUUUUAAACAUGUAUUAAUAAAAAACAAAUAUAUAUGUUAUAAAUAUUAAUAUGAGAUAAAUAUUUUUUAUAUGUGUAUUAAUAAAAUGAAAAUACAGUAGGUUUUUGGAAGUGUAGAUAAAAAAUAUAAAGGGACUGAAUGUUGGGUCCAGCCCACAAAGCAAGGCUCGAUAAACACUAGAAUAUGUAUGGGGUCCUAGCACGUGGCUUGUACUCAAGAGGUGUCAAGUGAAUGCUUGGUGUUUGGGCUUAGGCCUGGUGUUUAAGUUCACGGGUGACAGGAACGCACGUGACCCCUGGGCUUAGGCUAGGGGCUUGAGCCCAUAAGCACCAGGUGUGCGCCUGUCGCUGAGGCAAAGAAUCACGUCUGAGCCCAUGGGUGCCAGGCACGUGCAUGUUGCACCACACUCAAUAAUUUAUUUUUGCUUCGUGUCGAAGCCUUCUCAAAUCCCAAUCACUUCUCUUUCCAAGAAAAGCAGAUGCACUCGGAAAAUAUAAAAGAAACAAUUACAAUACUUUAACAAGGGCCCAGUUGAAAACUUUCAAUUAUUCUAACUACAAAUUAUUUUCUUGAAUAAUAUUUGAAUACAUGAGGGCAGUUUGGUAACAAAAAAGAUUUAUAUCUAUCUAUCCAUCUUGAGCAAAUAGAGGAGCAUCCAAUACACGAAUUCUAGAUUUUUCAUCUCUUGUUCUCAUCUAUAGCCGCCAUCAAUGGAAGCAACAGAAGCACUCGAGCUCUUUGAUUCAUACUGGUUUGGGAUGGAAAUAUUCAAGAAACAACCGAUUUUACCUAAAUCAUCGAGUUUAGAAGCAAACCUAGAUCAUGAAAAUCAAGAAAAGGCUCUUAAACCAGAGAUUUCAAGACUCCCAGCGACCAUUACAAGGUCUAUGAGUGAAGAUUUAUGCUCCAAUACAACCUUCAGUUUUGGCUUUUCUUUCUCUUCAGAUUCAGUCCUCCACGCACCGAAGCUCCACACCAUCUUUUCAGGCGAAGACUUCACAAAAGAAGAGUAUUCAACACCAACGGAGAAGGUAUAUGUCCUGGAAUCACAUAAAAAGAAAGUUACGAGGAGAAGAGGAAAGAAAGUUACAAGCAAGAGCCUGUCAGAAUUGGAAUAUGAAGAGCUAAAAGGGUUUACGGAUUUGGGGUUUGUCUUCUCGGAAGAAGAUAAAGAUUCAAAGUUGGCUUCAAUAAUUCCAGGAUUGCAAAGACUUGGUAAGCAACAUGAGGAUGAAACC